Transfer RNA from Felis catus (domestic cat), 85 nucleotides. It matches the Rfam family "tRNA". From Rfam's summary of the family: Transfer RNA (tRNA) molecules are approximately 80 nucleotides in length. Their secondary structure includes four short double-helical elements and three loops (D, anti-codon, and T loops). The record is from Rfam. Lineage: Eukaryota; Metazoa; Chordata; Mammalia; Carnivora; Felidae.
GCCUGGGUGGCUCAGUUGGUUGAGCGUCCGACUUUAGCUUGGGUCAUGAUCUUGCGGUCUGUGAGUUCGAGCCCCAUAUUGGGCU